ACCACAUCCACGGAAGGCAGAGGUGCGCAAAUUAACCCAAUCCUGGACACAGGGGAAGUAGUGACAAGCAAUAACGAUGAUCAGCUUACAGUUGAAAUUCGGAAUGAGAACAAUGUAAAAGCCUUAUCGACCACCAAGUGGAGGGCAAGCCUGGUGCCAGCAGCCGCGGUAAUACCAGCUCCACUAGCGUAUACUAAAGUUGCUGCUGUUAAAACGCUCGUAGUUGGAUAUCAGUCGGGAGGGGCAGGGCUCGCGCGCGUAUGCGCCCGCAGCUCAUCCGGUCCGCCGGGCCCCCCGGACUUAAUUCAGAGCUGCCCAUCUGCCCGGUCAAACGGGUGGGCGGGCGUGUUCUGAUUAUUACUUUGAGAAAAUUAAAGUGCUCAAAGCAGGCAGGCGCCUGAAUGCAUUAGCAUGGGACGGUAGUUCACGACUUUGGCAGUUAGUUUUGUUGGUUUUGGGCCGGAGUAAUGAUUGAUAGAAACAAUCGGGGGUGCUAGUAUCGCCAGGCCAGAGGUAAAAUUCUUUGAUUCUGGUGAGACUACCUUAUGCGAAAGCAUUCACCAAGCGUGUUUUCUUUAAUCAAGAGCUAAAGCCGGGGGAUCGAAGACGAUCAGAUACCGUCGUAGUCCCAGCCAUAAACGAUGUCGAGUAAGCAUUGGGCAAUCAGACUUCCUCAGCGCUUUGUGAGAAAUCAAAGUUUUCGGACUCAGGGGGAAGUAUGCUCGCAAGAGUGAAAUUUAAAGGAAUUGACGGAAGGGCACCACCAGUUGUGGAGCCUGCGGCUCAAUUUGACUCAACACGGGAAAACUUACCAGGUCCAGACAUAGUCAGGAUUGACAGAUUGAAGUUCUUUCAUGAUUCUAUGAAUAGUGGUGCAUGGCCGUUCUUAGUUGGUGGAGUGAUUUGUACUGGUUAAUUCCGAUAACGAACGAGACUUCAGCCGUCUAACUAGCUGUCGCUAGCGAUGUACUGCUAGCGCUUGUUCGCAAGAUCAGCUUCUUAGAGGGACAAUCUGUGCUCAGCAGAUGGAAGCUUGAGGCUAUAACAGGUCAGUGAUGCCCUUAGAAGGUCUGGGCUGCACGCGCGCUACAAUGACCCAGUCAGCGGGCCGACCCGAGCCUGAGAAGGCGAGGUAAUCCCCAAACUGGGUCCAAGUUGGGAUAGAUGAUUGCAAUUAUUCAUCUUGAACAAGGAAUAUCUAGUAAACGCAAGUCAUCAACUUGCAUUGAUUACGUCCCUGCCCUUUGUACACACCGCCCGUCGCUCCUACCGAUUGAAUAAUCAGAUGAACUGAGUGGAUGGGGCGUAGUCCUUUACGCCCCCAAAGCUCCGUGAAUCUUAUUAUUAGAGGAAG
Molecule: ribosomal RNA, 1354 nt
Filed under: Haplosporidium costale
Lineage: Eukaryota; Endomyxa; Ascetosporea; Haplosporida; Haplosporidiidae
Description: SSU rRNA
Rfam family: Eukaryotic small subunit ribosomal RNA
Source: RNAcentral